GCAAACUUGGUCAUUUAGAGGAAGUAAAAGUCGUAACAAGGUUUCCGUAGGUGAACCUGCGGAAGGAUCAUUACAAAAUCUGAGUGGGGUGAAUAUAUGGGGGGGGUAUUAUGGUCUGGAAACAGCCUGUGCCUGUCCACAUUUCAUCAUCAUCAUUUGCGCUUGUAUUGUUUGACAGAGUAAAUUUAACAGUGAAUUAAUGACAACUUUUAACAAUGGAUCUCUGGGCUCUUGCAUCGAUGAAGAACGCAGC
RNAcentral lists this unclassified non-coding RNA (253 nucleotides) under uncultured fungus. RNAcentral's name for it is "partial contains small subunit ribosomal RNA, internal transcribed spacer 1, and 5.8S ribosomal RNA". The stretch from base 1 to 73 matches the Rfam family "Eukaryotic small subunit ribosomal RNA", at positions 1759 to 1831 of the family's 1831-position model. Lineage: Eukaryota; Fungi. The record is from RNAcentral.